Molecule: ribosomal RNA, 108 nt
Filed under: Chryseobacterium sp. SC28
Lineage: Bacteria; Pseudomonadati; Bacteroidota; Flavobacteriia; Flavobacteriales; Weeksellaceae
Source: RNAcentral
UAGGGUGGUUUUAGCAGAGGGGCUCACCUGUUCCCAUUCCGAACACAGAAGUUAAGCCCUCUAGCGCCGAUGGUACUGCGAAAGCGGGAGAGUAGGUCGCCGCCGGUU